This 235-nucleotide ribosomal RNA is filed under the name uncultured Lactobacillus sp. Its description in RNAcentral is "partial 16S ribosomal RNA". It matches the Rfam family "Bacterial small subunit ribosomal RNA", at positions 127 to 356 of the family's 1533-position model. Lineage: Bacteria; Bacillati; Bacillota; Bacilli; Lactobacillales; Lactobacillaceae. The record is from RNAcentral.
UGCCCAAGAGAUCGGGAUAACACCUGGAAACAGAUGCUAAUACCGGAUAACAACAGAUGAUGCCUAUCAACUGUUUAAAAGAUGGUUCUGCUAUCACUCUUGGAUGGACCUGCGGUGCAUUAGCUAGUUGGUAGGGUAACGGCAUACCAAGGCGAUGAUGCAUAGCCGAGUUGAGAGACUGAUCGGCCACAUUGGGACUGAGACACGGCCCAAACUCCUACGGGAGGCAGCAGCG